RNAcentral lists this ribosomal RNA (253 nucleotides) under uncultured bacterium. RNAcentral's name for it is "partial 16S ribosomal RNA". It matches the Rfam family "Bacterial small subunit ribosomal RNA", at positions 524 to 776 of the family's 1533-position model. The record is from RNAcentral.
UACGGGGGGGGCAAGCGUUGUUCGGAAUUACUGGGCGUAAAGGGCUCGUAGGUGGUCAACUAAGUCAUACGUGAAAUCCCUCGGCUUAACCGGGGAACUGCGCCUGAUACUGGUUGACUUGAGUUUGGGAGAGGGACGCGGAAUUCCAGGUGUAGCGGUGAAAUGCGUAGAUAUCGUCAAGAACACCGAUUGCGAAGGCAGCUAACUAAGCUUUAACUGACGCUGAGGCACGAAAGUGUGGGGAUCAAACAGG